UGGAUUCCAUUUUGCAGCAAAAAACAUUCUUCAAUGGCGACUCUUUCUCUUACCCAAUUUUCCUUAUCCCUUUUACUCAUCACAUCAUUCUUCUUUUCUCCUUCAUCUGCCCAAACUAAAUGCAACGUUAACUCCGUCUACCAACUCGGCGACUCCCUCGCCGACGCCGGAAAUGUCAUCCGUACUCCCGGCGCUUCCAUCAUCUUCCGCGCCGACCGUUCCCCUUACGGUGAAACUUUCUUCAGAAGACCCACCGGCCGCUUCUCCAACGGCCGCCGUUAUCACCGAUUUCAUUUCUCAAUCAUUCAAACUCUCAUUCCUCAAUGCUUAUUUAGACAGAGGCGCAUCUUUCAGUCAAGGAGUAAAUUUCGCCGUCGCCGGAGCUACCGCCCUUGAUACAUCCUUCUGGACUGCUCGUAACAUCCGGUUACCCACAUGGAACACUCCGCUUUCAAAUCAAUUAAAUUGGUUCAAAACGCAUCUCCAAUCGACUUGUGGUUCUAGAUGUGCAGAGAAUUUGAAAAAGUCGAUAGUAAUAAUGGGGGAAUGGGGAGGAAACGAUUACUACAAUUGUUUCUUCCAGAGAAAGCAAAUCACAGAAGUUAGAACUUACGUUCCAUUUGUUGUUGCAGGGAUAAUGAGAGGCAUCAAAGAGGUGAUUCAGCUCGGAGCAACACGAGUGUUGGUUCCGAGCAUUUACCCUCUCGGAUGCCUCCCAUUAUACCUCACAUCCUUCCCUGAUAACAAUACGAGUGGUUACGAUCAAUUAGGAUGCUUGAGGAACUUCAAUGAUUUCGCUUCGUAUCAUAAUAGAUACAUGGUUAGGGCUAUAGCGAAUCUACAACGUGAAUUCCCAAAUGUUAGCAUUGUUUAUGGUGAUUUUUAUGGUGCAAUUUUGUCACUUAUUCGCAACCCGUCUUCGUUUGGGUUUAAUCAAAAUACAUUGCUGAGUGCGUGUUGUGGAACUGGAGGGAGGCAUAAUUUUAACUUCAGGACUGUGUGUGGAGCAGCUGGGAUUAAUGCUUGUGCGAAUCCGGCACAGUAUGUUCAUUGGGAUGGAAUUCAUUUGACAGAUGAAGCUCAUCGUCGUAUUACUGAAGUUCUUGUUAGAGAUAUGUUAGCCAAAUUCAACUGUGUCGUUUAAUUGGAUUAUUUUCUUGCCGUGAUCUGAGACAGUGAUAAAAUCUGCGUAUUUUAUCCUCCUCCAGACUCAUUUAUCGGGACUUCAUUAAGUAUGUUGUUGUUGUAUCUUCCUCGCUGUGACGAAGAGAGAAUUAUUAAGUUAAAUAAGAGGAUGAUUUGGUGUUUGGACUAUAUUUAAUUAGGUUUGUAUUGAAAAAAACAGAGUGUUUUUUUUUUAAGUUUAAAAUAAUGUAUUUGAAGUUUUUUUGUUUU
Solanum tuberosum (potato) is the source of this 1395-nucleotide RNA transcript. It is a transcript of the gene named acetylajmalan esterase-like, with no coding region annotated. The transcript has a single exon. The record is from RefSeq and is a predicted model, not a curated record. Lineage: Eukaryota; Viridiplantae; Streptophyta; Magnoliopsida; Solanales; Solanaceae.